UACGUAGGGUGCGAGCGUUGUCCGGAAUUAUUGGGCGUAAAGAGCUCGUAGGCGGUUUGUCACGUCUGCUGUGAAAUCCCGAGGCUCAACCUCGGGCCUGCAGUGGGUACGGGCAGACUGGAGUGCGGUAGGGGAGACUGGAAUUCCUGGUGUAGCGGUGAAAUGCGCAGAUAUCAGGAGGAACACCGGUGGCGAAGGCGGGUCUCUGGGCAGUAACUGACGCUGAGGAGCGAAAGCGUGGGGAGCGAACAGG
Molecule: ribosomal RNA, 253 nt
Filed under: uncultured bacterium
Lineage: Bacteria
Description: partial 16S ribosomal RNA
Rfam family: Bacterial small subunit ribosomal RNA
Source: RNAcentral